This 510-nucleotide ribosomal RNA is filed under the name Klebsiella oxytoca. RNAcentral's name for it is "bacterial SSU rRNA". It matches the Rfam family "Bacterial small subunit ribosomal RNA", at positions 1023 to 1533 of the family's 1533-position model. RNAcentral also lists the same sequence under 2 other names. The record is from RNAcentral. Lineage: Bacteria; Pseudomonadati; Pseudomonadota; Gammaproteobacteria; Enterobacterales; Enterobacteriaceae.
GGAACUCUGAGACAGGUGCUGCAUGGCUGUCGUCAGCUCGUGUUGUGAAAUGUUGGGUUAAGUCCCGCAACGAGCGCAACCCUUAUCCUUUGUUGCCAGCGGUUAGGCCGGGAACUCAAAGGAGACUGCCAGUGAUAAACUGGAGGAAGGUGGGGAUGACGUCAAGUCAUCAUGGCCCUUACGAGUAGGGCUACACACGUGCUACAAUGGCGCAUACAAAGAGAAGCGACCUCGCGAGAGCAAGCGGACCUCAUAAAGUGCGUCGUAGUCCGGAUUGGAGUCUGCAACUCGACUCCAUGAAGUCGGAAUCGCUAGUAAUCGUGGAUCAGAAUGCCACGGUGAAUACGUUCCCGGGCCUUGUACACACCGCCCGUCACACCAUGGGAGUGGGUUGCAAAAGAAGUAGGUAGCUUAACCUUCGGGAGGGCGCUUACCACUUUGUGAUUCAUGACUGGGGUGAAGUCGUAACAAGGUAACCGUAGGGGAACCUGCGGUUGGAUCACCUCCUUA